RNAcentral lists this ribosomal RNA (495 nucleotides) under Triticum aestivum (bread wheat). Its description in RNAcentral is "partial small subunit ribosomal RNA". Lineage: Eukaryota; Viridiplantae; Streptophyta; Magnoliopsida; Poales; Poaceae. The record is from RNAcentral.
AUGCAGCUCCUUACAAUCCAGUUGGGAGAGCACGGUGAAAUUUUGACUGAAGAUGCUGUCCAAGCAUUGGAGCUACUGAGUGAACCUGAAAAAUUGGAAUGCUGUGAGAUCUCGGCUCAUGCUGUUUCUGGGGCUGAUAAUGCUGAAACAAUUCGCAUCCGAGCUCUGGUAAGCAACCAAGUCAUGUUAGCCCUCGUGGACUCAGGCAGUAGUCACAACUUUGUGGAUGAAAACUUUGCCAAGCGCGCUUCGUUGGACUUGGUCGCUGUUCCAUCAGUGCAAGUUACCGUUGCAAAUGGUCAAGCUAUGGAAUCCAAGUUUCAGGCCCCGAAUUUGACUUGGUGGGCACAGGGUCACACUUUUGAAACACCAAUGCGAGUGCUACAGCUGGGAGCAUAUGAUGCUGUCUUGGAGAUGGAUUGGCUGAAGUGUCACAGUCCAAUGACUUGUGAUUGGGAGGGAAAAUCGUUACAGUUUGUACAUAUGAUGCUAUGA